Meriones unguiculatus (Mongolian gerbil) is the source of this 2582-nucleotide long non-coding RNA. RefSeq lists it as uncharacterized. The transcript is spliced from 4 exons. Lineage: Eukaryota; Metazoa; Chordata; Mammalia; Rodentia; Muridae. The record is from RefSeq and is a predicted model, not a curated record.
UGCGCAGGCCGGGCCUAGAGGAUGUGAGGGAUCCGUCGUCCAGGGUGUUGGAGUUAGAGAAGGCUGGGGCUCAGGCCUGCUCCUGCCUUUGGAUCUUUGGAGUCCUGAUGCCUGGAAAUCUUCCCAGUAAAUCUCCGUGGAGCAUUCCUUCACCUUCCCAGGCAGUCUGAAGAAACCCUCUCAAAGAGCUCUAUCCUGGCUGCUUUAAAAUUUCAAUCCACUGGGCUACCUGGUGGAGCCUUGUCUCAGAAAGAAAGAAAGAAAGAAAGCAAGAAAGAAAGAAAGAAAGAAAGAAAGAAAGAAAGAAAGAAAGAAAGAAAGAAGAAAGCGGAAUCUAGCUGGGUGCAGUGGCACACGCCUGUGAUCCCAGCACUCUGGGAGGCAGAGGCAGAUGGGUCUCUGUGAGCUCAAGGCCAGCCUGGUCUACAAAGUGAGCCUACGACAGCCAGGGCUACACAGAGAAACCCUGCCUCAAAAAGGAAGAAAAAGAAAUAAGUUGCGAUCCGCUAUCCCAGACUUCUUUUGUGUGUGUGGGGUGUGGGACUGAUUCAGAUGGUCCACAGCAGCAGACCGUGCCUCGUGUGGGCUCUGAGAGGAGCUCUUUGCCAGCUGAGGACUCUGGAGAGGGGCCUCUGAGAAAGAAGGCAGGUGUGUCCCCCAUCCCCAUCCCCCUGCUGCUCCUGGUUGCUGCUGAUACAAGAAGUUGGAGAUCUCCUGAAACAAAGAUUGGACUUGCCCGAAGGAACCCAGCGACCCUAAACAGCAGGAAGUAGCCAAAGGGAACUCUGGCCCCUGUCCCCACUAACCUUCCUUCUCUCCUACCUGGUAUUGGGGUGUUGGAAGGGACUGGGUAGGAAAAAAGAGGUAGAGAUAUAAGAAACCUGAAUUAAAGUAGAUUAAAAAGUAUGCUAAUAUUCCAAGGCUCUGUAGAGAGACCCUGUCCAAAAAAAAAAAAGAAAAAAAAAAAAAAAAAAAAAAGGCAUGUGUUUGGGUGUCAGGUUGAAGAGUGUGAACUUGUGGUCAUUAAUCUUCAUUGUCAACCUGAGUAGAUUUAGAGUCACCCAGGAAACACACCUGAGGUUGUAGUGUGAGCAUGUUUCCCAGGGAGGUUAGAUUUUUUGGAGGACCCGUGAGAGAUGGCGUCACCCUGUGGGCUGGAUUCUAGCCUAAAGUCUUUUAAGGAAGAAAGCAGUUCACCAUCACCAUCCUGUGCCUCUGCCUCCUGACUGGAAACAGGGGCCACCUUUGCUUGUCGCCAUGGAGCCUAGCUCUCGAGCCACAAGGCUGAAUGCACCUUUUCUCAUUUGCUCCUUUCAUUCAGUUGCAGCAAGGAGAAAAGUAACCAGUGCCCAGACCGGCGCUGAAAGCACGCCUCUGGCAAUGGCUUUCUAUUUCUUGUGGUGCUAGUGGCAGGGUCCAGUGCCUUGCACACUCUUGGCAGGUAUAUCACCGGGAUCUACACACCUGAGACAGUCUCACUGUGUGGCCCCGGCCGUCCUUGAACAGCAGGUAUUCCCGCCUUGGCUUCUGUAGUGCUAAGAUUAAAGCUGGUACCACCAUGCCAGCUAGCAGCCUCUUCCAAGGCUGAGCAUGGUGUGACCUGGCCAGAUUACCUAUGGUACAAGUGAUGGGAAUGCUGUCAGCUACUUUUCCCUUCCUUCUGCAAUGGGCUAGAAGGUCUCUGUCAUCCCGGAGCUGCUGCAGUGGGGUCCUGCCUUCCACUCCCCGCCAUUCUCUACUUUAUCUUCCAGGAGGAAGGAGGAAGCAGGGGUUGUCCCCUCGGAAUCACUGCGUCCCUCUCCAAAGAAGAAAAUUCCUACUGACACUGGGAUUGGUAUUUUUUCUAAGUCCCCACGGUAAGGCUACUGCUCUGUGACCAUUAUGGAGCCUUAAAGGACAUUCUAGAACUACAGCUUGAAGGUGUAGCUCACCAGAUGAGCGCUUGCCGGAAGUGUGCAAGGCCCUGCAUUCCAUUUCCAGCACUUACACAGAACGAAGGUUCCCCUCAGAAUUGCGCUGGCACGAGCACACGGGCGCACUGCGCUGCAUGUGUGGAGCAAGCCUUUCAGCCCAAGCACUCAGGUGGACCUCUGCGAGCCUGGAGCUAGCCUAGUCUACACGGAUUUGUCUUUAGCUGUGUGCCAUGGUGCUCGCCUAUAAUCCCAACACUGAGGGAGGCAGGCAAAUCUCUGUGCGUUCAAGGCCAGCCUGGUCUACAGAGUGAGUGCCAGGACAGCCAAGGCUACAUAGAGAAACCCUGUCUCAAAAAACCAAACCAAAAUAAGACAAAAGUGGCUCCUCUUGAAGAACAGCCAAUGUUUUUACCUGCUGCCUUUAAUUCCAGCAAUUGGGAGGCAGAAGAAGGAAGAACUCUGAGUUUGAGGCCAGUCUGGUCUACGGGCCAGCCAGGGCUACAUAGUAAGACCCUAUCUAUAAACAAACAAACAAACAAGUAAAUAACAAUAAGUUAAAAAAAAUUUUUUAAGGAGAGAAAAACAAGGAGAGUUUGAGAAACUGUGACAGUUAAAUGUAAUUCAGUAUUCUGUAUGUGAUCCUGGAACAGAAAAGAAGUCAAAGUAAAA